CGUUACGCUCUCUCUUCUUCUGGCACGUUAUGAUUUAUUUCACAAAACUUUCCGCGUAGCAGCGACUUUAGCGGCACGGGUCAUUUAAACGUGACGUUGGAUCAAUUUUUCAAUCUAAAAGGCGAGAUUAACAGAUUUAAAAGUGAGAAAUUCCCGUCGCAAAAUCGCCGAUGUAUCGUCAAUUGAAGUUGAAUAUUGAGCACUCCAAACGUAAUCGCAGAAAAACAUUAAGCUGCUACGCAUGAAGCGACGGCUUCACACGUGUCGCAGCAAAUCAGUAUCUUUCUUUCACGGAGAAUUCACAGACGACGAUGAAUAAAAUUCAAGUCCAGAGACCAUUCGCGGAUUAAAGUCACUUCACACUGACGGACAAUUGUCGACAGAUACACACGGCAGGGGUAGGGGAGGGGGGGAG
This 415-nucleotide unclassified non-coding RNA is filed under the name Bombus terrestris (buff-tailed bumblebee). Its description in RNAcentral is "misc RNA ENSBTSG00005021261.1". The record is from RNAcentral. Lineage: Eukaryota; Metazoa; Arthropoda; Insecta; Hymenoptera; Apidae.